Molecule: long non-coding RNA, 212 nt
Filed under: Carica papaya (papaya)
Lineage: Eukaryota; Viridiplantae; Streptophyta; Magnoliopsida; Brassicales; Caricaceae
Description: long non-coding RNA (CPAP_LNC013622)
Source: RNAcentral
ACCCUAGGGCCCUCGGGGGGCCAAAAAAUCACGGAAAAACGGAGCUUACCGGCGGCGGCGCUCUCGGGUGCAGCGGCUCUCCGGUGAGGUUCGUGUUUUGGUGAUUCGGCUCCGGUCAACCUGUAGAGAAAAGAAUGGUGAUCACGGUGAUAUAAAAAUUGCAUCGAACGGAGGCCGGGAAGGGCCUCGUCGGAGGCAAAAAACGAGAGGGG